Molecule: ribosomal RNA, 745 nt
Filed under: uncultured bacterium
Lineage: Bacteria
Description: bacterial SSU rRNA
Rfam family: Bacterial small subunit ribosomal RNA
Source: RNAcentral
ACGCUGGCGGCAUGCCUUACACAUGCAAGUCGAACGGCAGCACGGAGCUUGCUCUGGUGGCGAGUGGCGAACGGGUGAGUAAUAUAUCGGAACGUACCCUGGAGUGGGGGAUAACGUAGCGAAAGUUACGCUAAUACCGCAUACGAUCUAAGGAUGAAAGUGGGGGAUCGCAAGACCUCAUGCUCGUGGAGCGGCCGAUAUCUGAUUAGCUAGUUGGUAGGGUAAAAGCCUACCAAGGCAUCGAUCAGUAGCUGGUCUGAGAGGACGACCAGCCACACUGGAACUGAGACACGGUCCAGACUCCUACGGGAGGUAGCAGUGGGGAAUUUUGGACAAUGGGCGCAAGCCUGAUCCAGCAAUGCCGCGUGAGUGAAGAAGGCCUUCGGGUUGUAAAGCUCUUUUGUCAGGGAAGAAACGGUGAGGGCUAAUAUCCUUUGCUAAUGACGGUACCUGAAGAAUAAGCACCGGCUAACUACGUGCCAGCAGCCGCGGUAAUACGUAGGGUGCAAGCGUUAAUCGGAAUUACUGGGCGUAAAGCGUGCGCAGGCGGUUUUGUAAGUCUGAUGUGAAAUCCCCGGGCUCAACCUGGGAAUUGCAUUGGAGACUGCAAGGCUAGAAUCUGGCAGAGGGGGGUAGAAUUCCACGUGUAGCAGUGAAAUGCGUAGAUAUGUGGAGGAACACCGAUGGCGAAGGCAGCCCCCUGGGUCAAGAUUGACGCUCAUGCACGAAAGCGUGGGGAGCAAAC